CAGGCACCUACACAUAAUUAAAAUAAUAAACAAAAAUAAAAGAGAAUAAAAGAACAGUGACCAGAGAGCACCAGAUACUCCUAGACACUUCCCAGACUCUGGCUUAGCAACCUGGGGGAGGAGACGCCAUGGCUCAAGUGGAGAAGAUGGAGGGUAAGCCAGACUCAGGAGCAGUCCCAAAUCUGAGGCACACUGGUAUGGAAUUGCUAGGAGAGUCCCAAGAGACAUAGCUGGGGACACAGAGCUGGAAUCGAUGGGGGAGGGAAAAAGAGGAGAGACCCAGAGGCUGCUCCCACAAAGGUCAUGGCUAGGGGACAAGGGACAUUUGGAGGAGACAAGUGUCAUUAGCUCAGCUGCAGUGAGACUUACGUGGCUUGCUUCUGCUCCCUCAUAUGGAGCACAAACUCUUAGAAUGGAGCCCAGGACAGUGGCUGGCACCAAGGGGGCUCUCUGUAAAUGUCUCAUUGGAUGAAAGCAUGCAUGAAUGAACUGGCUUCCCAAGAAGAAUUUUCCAGAGCCCAGUGGAAGUAAGAAGAUCAGGGUAAGCUGGAGGAUUGCAGACUCGCAGUGAGGAGGGAGGAGAGUACAGGACAAGUCUCUGUUUCAUUACAGGCCUGAUGACAGGCCCGGUCUUUGCCAUGUUGCCUAACUGUGCAGAGGGAAGGGGACAGACACAGCCAUCUCACCUCCUAUCAAGUAGGGGUUUUCCACAUAACGCUGAGCCACAUAGUUCUCCACUGGGAUAUCAUCUUUCUGGUCAUCAGAGCUCCUUGUGUCCUGGGUGUGACAAUAGCAAACAACAACACACAGCAAGUGACCCGUGUCCUCCCUGGGGCAUCUGACUGGAUCCUUAGGUAAGAUCCUUAGGUAAGUCUCUAAGGUAAGAACUAACGCCAUUCCUAUUUUACACUUGCACACCUGAAGCACAGAGAGGUGAGAUGCCUUGUCUGAAGUCACACAGCUGGCCAGAGGUUCAGCAGGGGUGUGGGGCCAUAUGUAAUUCAAACCCAGAGCCUAGGUGUGAUGGUUUGUACAUGCUCUGCCCAGGGAGUGGCACUAUGUGGAGGUGCGGCCUUGUUGGAGUAGGUGUCACUGUGGGUGUGAGCUUUAAGACCUUCCCCUUUGCUGCCUGGAAGCCAAUAUUCUGCUAGCAGCCUUCAGAUAAAGAUGUAGAACUCACAUCUCCUCCUGCACCAGGCCUGCCUGGAUGCUGCCAUGCUCCUGCCCUUAUGAAUCUCUGAACAUGUGAGCCAGCCCCAAUUAAAUGUUGUCCUUACAAGACUUGACUUGGUCAUGGUGUCUGUUCACAGCAGUAAGCCCUAACUAAGACACUAAGUUACGCUUUAGACCUGUGCCGCCUCAAAAGGCACAUGUGGGCACUGACAUUCACACUCAUAUCGAUACUACAUGCUGUGACAUGAACGAAACCUGAAGCCAAUGGCUGCAUGAAAUAAGCCAGCAACAAGAGGAUCCACCUCUCGGAGUCACCACCAUAGUCCAGUGCCUUGCAGCUGAAAGCAGGAUUGCGGAGGUCGGUAUGGAAUGCCCAGAGUUCUGAUUUGAAGUGGUGCAAACACAGUGGCCACGGGUUCCCAACAAGUGACAAUAUGAAUGCUCCUAGUACCUCAGUACUGAGACGGUCAAAGUGGGACUCUCUAAAGAGAGUAACUGAGGAAGACACCUAGUCUAUGCCCCCCACAUACAUGCAAAUGAUUAAAACCCUAAAUGCUGUGUCCUGUACAGUUUGGCGGGAGGUGGAGAUAACGGGGAGGGUAUUGCACUGAUAGGCUGGCAGUCUGCUGAGCCACGCCCUCUUGUGCCUUCCAUUCUCAGAGGAAAUGAAAUUCCAAAAGUUUAGAUCUUUGGUGAGUUUAGGGGCAGUUCACUUGCCCUCCAAUAUGCAAGGCUCUAGAUUCUGUCACUAUCACAGGGCAAGGUGGAGAGAGAGGAGAGGGAGGGAGGGAGGGAGGGAGGGAAGGAGGGGCGAUCAAUUCUCUUUGUGAGUCCAGUGCUUCACCUGGGAAGAGAAAUCGCUCCUGUCCAGGCUGUAGAAGUUCUAGCGCACGGCUGCCCAGAGAACACCAGAGCAGGGCUGUCUCUCCCCUCCUACCCAGCAGUUCAGGCAACACUCACAGGCACAGCCCUUCCUGUUACCCUUGACCCCACCUCAGUGACUUCAUGAAGAGCCAAAACCAAACCCCAGAGUCCCGUACACUCUGGACUCACAGCUGCACAGCAGUAAGUGCUUGGACUAGGGGCUUCCAGCCAUCAGGGCAGAGCCCUCUCCUGCUGAGCCGCGGCACCCACCUGGGCAGCCAGGCCUCUCCUUCCUGGAGCCCUCCUCACUUCUACUCACAUGGCUGCCUGAAGGGUUCACAUUGGCUCGAGUAGCCUGGGUCUCCACACUGGUGACUUUCUUCCCCGCAGUGCCCUGCCAGUAGGUGUAAGAGAUACAUUGGGAUGUGCAUAAGGGGAGAGGCAUUUAGUAAGCAUUUGCUUGUCUCCCCUGGGAGUUGACUCCUCCUGCUCCCCACACCCACACGGCUGUCCCUGCCAGGGUUCAGAAGGUCUCCUCUAUCUUUCAGAGCACAGCUGUUAAUUGGACCCUGCUCAUCAGCACAGGGGAUCCUCGGGCAGACGCUAAGAAGGGCGAGGUGUUCACCUGCCUGGCCUUGUACAGAAACACUGUCAGCAUGCUCACCACCCUCCCCACAGCCCACAGUCCAUUGGGACUGCAGGAUAGUGAAGCAAUCAUCCAAAGGUAUAUUGGUGCGUGUGUGUGUGUGUGUGUGUGUGUGUGUGUGUGUGUGUGUGUUGCUGAGGAUCAAACUCAGGACCUUGAUUUUGCUAAGCAAGCACUCCUUGGCAGAGCUACAGAUCAUCCCCAGGGUCUAUGCUGUAUCUGUCACUUAGAAGUCACAAUUCCCAGAGGAACCUAUACAGAGCUAAAACCUGCUGGCUGGCCUGGCUUCUGUGGCCUCUGAGACCAACUCUGGCUUCCUGCGCCAGUUCAGUCCUUUAGUUAUCUGAGCUACUGAGCACUCCCCACUCCCCUAAGGCAUCUUUCCUCUGGCACUCCUCAGGUGAGCGCAGCGCCUCCUUCCCUCUGUUCUCUGAGCAGUGUGGCCCACAGACGACAGAAGGCCUGGCAGCAGGUGGCUUGCUCAGCUCUGGGCAGAGCAGGAAACAGAGCAAAGCAAAUCCUUCCUUUCUCCCUCUUUGUUUAGUCCGGGACCCCAGUUCAUGGGAAGCUGCCAUCUCCCAUCCAUGGUGGGCCUUCUCUAGUCAACUAAACCUCUCAGGAAACACCCUCUGAGACACCCUAAGGAUGCACCUCAUUAAUUUUGUAGGUGUUUAGUAAUCCAGUCAAGCUAACAAUGUGUUAUCACACAUCUAAGUGUUGCCAACUUGAUAUAUAAACACAUUACUUGAAACCACAACAUUCUGCCCCUGGCCCACAGGGUCAUGGCCUUCCCAAUGUGAAAUGCAUGAAUUCUAACUUCAACCCUGAGCCCAACACCCAAAAUUUCUAUACUAUUCAAAAGUCUUAAAUGCUUUCCAGGCAUGGUGGCUCACAUUGAUAAACUCCGGCCCACAGGAGGCAGAGGCAGGUGAAUCUCUAUGAGUUUAAGGCUAUCCUGAUAUACAUAGUAAGUUCCAGAAUACACAAAGCUACAUAGAGACAGACACUCCCUGUCUCAAUAAAACAGAACAAAAGGUCCUAAAUCAGAGCCACUCAAAGGGCUCACAUCUCUAAUGCCAGUAUCCAGUGAGCAGAGACAGGCUGAGCUCUGUGAGCUUAAGUCCAGUCUGGUCUAUAGAGUGAGAACCUUUCUUAAAAAACAGACAAACAAAAGUCCUUAGUCCAACGUCUCUUCUGAGACUCAAGGCAAUUUACUAUGAGCACCUGUACACUAAAAACACAAGUUACAUACUUCUAACACACAAUGGCAUAGAAAAAUCAUAUUAUCAUUUCAAAAGGAAGAAUAGGGUAUAGCAAGGAAAGUCCACUGUGAGACUGAAACACAGCAGGGAAGAUUCCCAUCCUGCCCCUCAGGGCAGCACGUGGAGCUCAUGACAGGAUCCCACAGGCUCCAACAGCCUUGGGCCACCCCAUCCUUCCAGCUCUGCUCCCUGCAGCACAGUCUUUCUCUCCGCACAGCUCCACUCCACACUUGUGGCUCUCUCUGACAGAUGUGCUAUGGCCACAGCAUCUCCAGUGCACUGGGGUCUCCAUUACAACUUGGGCUUCCCCUUCACACCUUCACCCAUGGCUUCUUGGGGCUUUCCGCAGGUGAUCCUACUCUGCCACACACUCACUGAUUUACACGACCUUCUGGAACCCAGAUGAAAGCCUCCGUGACGCCUUCUCACCUUUCGUGGCUGCAAAACCGUGUACUUAGAUACUGCUGCUAAGUUCUGCUGCCAGCUUCGGUAGAGUCUGGUGCUGGGAUUGAACCCAUGGCCUUGGACACACUAGGCAAGUGCCCUACCCACAGAGCCACAUUGGAAGCCAUUAUAACUUUGGUUUUAUACCAGUGUGUCCACUCUGAGUCCUUAUUCCCUAACCAUCCCUGCUCUGCCCCCAGUGAUGCCAUUCAUUAUGUGACAUUCAGUGGUGUGAUUUGAAUAUGCUUGGCCCAGGGAGUGGCACUACUAGGAGGUGUGACCUUGGUGGAGGAAGUGUGUCAUUGUGGGCGUGGAUGUGGACUUUACGACCCUCCUCCUAGCUGCCUGGAAGCCAGUCUUCCCCUAGCAGCCUUCAGAUGAAGAUGUAGAACUCUCAGCUCCUCCGGCUCCAUGCCUAGACACUGCCAUGCUUCUGCCGUGAUGACAAUGGACUAAA
Rattus norvegicus (Norway rat) is the source of this 4846-nucleotide non-coding RNA. Lineage: Eukaryota; Metazoa; Chordata; Mammalia; Rodentia; Muridae. The record is from RefSeq and is a predicted model, not a curated record.